RNAcentral lists this long non-coding RNA (897 nucleotides) under Lonchura striata (white-rumped munia). RNAcentral's name for it is "domestica (Bengalese finch) lncRNA (ENSLSDG00000016177.1)". Lineage: Eukaryota; Metazoa; Chordata; Aves; Passeriformes; Estrildidae. The record is from RNAcentral.
CCGCCGCCAGCAGCCACAUCCGAGGCCGGGGCGAGUGCCAAGAGCGCGGCUCUUCCCUGGGCAUCGCCCCCAAAGGGCUCCGCUUGCGACACGGGCGCAGAUCCGGCAGCCCCGGGCACAUCCUGUCCGCUCCCAGCAGAGCUGCAGGAGCCAGCAGCGCCCGUCCGUCUGUCCGUCUGUCCGUGCAGGACUGGGCUCGGCCAGCCAUGGGCUCGGCCGGGCUCCUGCUCGUCCUGGGGCUCGCAGCGCUGCUGCCCGCGGAUGCCGCGCCCUGCGGAGCGCAGCGCCCCGACAGCUCCACGGCCGCCCAGCUGCUGGGGACGUGGCUGUACGUGGCAGGGGCUGCCCAGUUCCCCCAGCACCAGGUGGAGAUGCUGCUCAUCGACCACGCCUUCCUGCGCCUGGAGCCCGGUGCCGGCGGGCAGGAGCUGCUCGUCAGCCACUACGUGGCCGUGGGGAACCAAUGUUUUACCAACAACCUCACCUACCUGGAGGUCGCUGCGGGUAACGCCACGCUGGUGAAGCACGCCAAGACCCAGCAAACUGAGGGGAUGCUGAUGAACAUGAGCUCUGAAAACCUUUUGCUCAUCCAGUACCAAAUGCAGAAGGAAAGGACGUAUUUGGGGCAGUAUCUCUACGCCCGGAGCCUGAGCCUGAGCACGGCUGACAAGGAGGAGUUUGAGCAGCACGUGGAGUGCCUGGGGCUGAGGGCAGAGCAGAUCGUGUACGCGCCGUGGAGAACGGAGGUGUGUCAAGUGAAAGAAGCCGAAGGCAGCGACAGCCCCCACGCAGAGCCUGCGGCUGCAGCCACAGCAGCACCAGCCCCAGGGACUCCCUGGCCUGGCAGUGCAGGGAACUGACCCCACACAGGGCAAUAAACGUUUCCUUCAAAUUGCA